This 90-nucleotide transfer RNA is filed under the name Acidobacteria bacterium ADurb.Bin340. RNAcentral describes it as "tRNA-Ser". It matches the Rfam family "tRNA". From Rfam's summary of the family: Transfer RNA (tRNA) molecules are approximately 80 nucleotides in length. Their secondary structure includes four short double-helical elements and three loops (D, anti-codon, and T loops). Further hydrogen bonds mediate the characteristic L-shaped molecular structure. tRNAs have two regions of fundamental functional importance: the anti-codon, which is responsible for specific mRNA codon recognition, and the 3' end, to which the tRNAs corresponding amino acid is attached (by aminoacyl-tRNA synthetases). tRNAs cope with the degeneracy of the genetic code in two manners: having more than one tRNA (with a specific anti-codon) for a particular amino acid; and 'wobble' base-pairing, i.e. permitting non-standard base-pairing at the 3rd anti-codon position. The record is from RNAcentral. Lineage: Bacteria; Pseudomonadati; Acidobacteriota. RNAcentral also lists the same sequence under 1 other name.
GGAGAGUUGUCCGAGUGGCUGAAGGAGCACGAUUGGAAAUCGUGUAUACGGGUGACCGUAUCAAGAGUUCGAAUCUCUUACUCUCCGCCA